UGAAAGGAUAGUGUUCAGUAUGGAAG
Molecule: non-coding RNA, 26 nt
Filed under: Mus musculus (house mouse)
Lineage: Eukaryota; Metazoa; Chordata; Mammalia; Rodentia; Muridae
Source: RNAcentral